This 582-nucleotide ribosomal RNA is filed under the name uncultured bacterium. Its description in RNAcentral is "partial 16S ribosomal RNA". It matches the Rfam family "Bacterial small subunit ribosomal RNA", at positions 355 to 930 of the family's 1533-position model. The record is from RNAcentral.
UGGGGAAUUUUGGACAAUGGGCGAAAGCCUGAUCCAGCAAUGCCGCGUGUGUGAAGAAGGCCUUCGGGUUGUAAAGCACUUUUGUCCGGAAAGAAAUCCUUGGCUCUAAUACAGUCGGGGGAUGACGGUACCGGAAGAAUAAGCACCGGCUAACUACGUGCCAGCAGCCGCGGUAAUACGUAGGGUGCAAGCGUUAAUCGGAAUUACUGGGCGUAAAGCGUGCGCAGGCGGUUUGCUAAGACCGAUGUGAAAUCCCCGGGCUCAACCUGGGAACUGCAUUGGUGACUGGCAGGCUAGAGUAUGGCAGAGGGGGGUAGAAUUCCACGUGUAGCAGUGAAAUGCGUAGAGAUGUGGAGGAAUACCGAUGGCGAAGGCAGCCCCCUGGGCCAAUACUGACGCUCAUGCACGAAAGCGUGGGGAGCAAACAGGAUUAGAUACCCUGGUAGUCCACGCCCUAAACGAUGUCAACUAGUUGUUGGGGAUUCAUUUCCUUAGUAACGUAGCUAACGCGUGAAGUUGACCGCCUGGGGAGUACGGUCGCAAGAUUAAAACUUAAAUGAAUUGACGGGGUCAAGCUGUUCC